RNAcentral lists this ribosomal RNA (448 nucleotides) under uncultured bacterium. RNAcentral's name for it is "bacterial SSU rRNA". It matches the Rfam family "Bacterial small subunit ribosomal RNA", at positions 355 to 796 of the family's 1533-position model. The record is from RNAcentral.
UCGAGAAUUUUUCUCAAUGGGCGCAAGCCUGAAGGAGCGACGCCGCGUGGGGGAUGAAGGGUUUCGAUCCGUAAACCCCUGUCAUUUGUGAACAAAGCUUAUUCAAUAACACUGGGUAAGUUGAUAGUAAUGAAAGAGGAAGGGACGGCUAACUCUGUGCCAGCAGCCGCGGUAAUACAGAGGUCCCGAGCGUUGUUCGGAUUCACUGGGCGUAAAGGGUGCGUAGGUGGCCUAAAAAGUUUGAUGUGAAAGCUCAGGGCUUAACCCUGAAAUGGCAUUGAAUACUGUUGGGCUGGAGGUUUGGAGGGGGGACUGGAAUUCUUGGUGUAGCAGUGAAAUGCGUAGAUAUCAAGAGGAACACCAGUGGCGAAGGCGAGUCCCUGGACAACACCUGACACUGAGGCACGAAAGCCGGGGGAGCAAACAGGAUUAGAUACCCCCGUAGUCC